AGAGUUUGAUCCUGGCUCAGGAUGAACGCUGGCGGCGUGCUUAACACAUGCAAGUCGAACGAGAAUCCGAUGACGGAGGCUUCGGCCGAAGUUAUUGGAGGAAAGUGGCGGACGGGUGAGUAACGCGUGAGCAACCUGCCUUUAAGAGGGGGAUAACAUUCCGAAAGGGAUGCUAAUACCGCAUAAAGCAGAGGGAAGGCAUCUUUCUUCUGCCAAAGAUUUAUCGCUUAGAGAUGGGCUCGCGUAUGAUUAGCUUGUUGGUGAGGUAACGGCUCACCAAGGCGACGAUCAUUAGCCGGACUGAGAGGUUGAACGGCCACAUUGGGACUGAGACACGGCCCAG
This 343-nucleotide ribosomal RNA is filed under the name uncultured bacterium. RNAcentral describes it as "bacterial SSU rRNA". It matches the Rfam family "Bacterial small subunit ribosomal RNA", at positions 8 to 334 of the family's 1533-position model. The record is from RNAcentral.